RNAcentral lists this vault RNA (114 nucleotides) under Mytilus galloprovincialis (Mediterranean mussel). It matches the Rfam family "Vault RNA". Rfam says of the family: This family of RNAs are found as part of the enigmatic vault ribonucleoprotein complex. The record is from Rfam by way of RNAcentral. Lineage: Eukaryota; Metazoa; Mollusca; Bivalvia; Mytilida; Mytilidae.
GUGUUGGCUUAGUCGAGUGGUUACUUCGCUUUGAAUUGGUACAAACUUCAACUGUCACUUGAAACUUAACGGGUUCGAAUCCCGUGGAAACCACUGACACAGUCCAGCAUUUUU